AUCCAGGUGAGGAGUCCCAAAAUAGGACGAAACAUACGUCCUGGAU
This 46-nucleotide non-coding RNA is filed under the name Schistosoma bovis. Lineage: Eukaryota; Metazoa; Platyhelminthes; Trematoda; Strigeidida; Schistosomatidae. RNAcentral also lists the same sequence under 1 other name. The record is from RNAcentral.